This is a long non-coding RNA of Culex pipiens pallens (northern house mosquito), 1493 nucleotides long. RefSeq lists it as uncharacterized. The transcript has 2 exons. The record is from RefSeq and is a predicted model, not a curated record. Lineage: Eukaryota; Metazoa; Arthropoda; Insecta; Diptera; Culicidae.
UUUUUCAAAUUUUCAGUUUUUGCUUUUUGGGUGUUUUUAAUACCCCUGGCUCAAGGCGGUUUCAAAAGAACUCAAAAAGUAAAAACUGGAAAUUUGUUUGCUUGUUUAUAUUUAUUCCGAACUUAAGACAUACAUCUUAUCUGUCCACGCCGUGACGUAGAAUGAAAUGCGCUGAGAAACAAUUGGUUUAUUGGACCUUUUCAAAAAAAAAAUCCUUAAAUUAUAUAACGUGAAAAAUUGUCGAAAAUCCUAAGUUUUAACUUUUGGAAACCUGUUUCUCGGCAAUGGUUUGGUUUAUUUUGAGAUAUUCAAUGAUUCUUCUGUAAAAUUUUCCGGGAAACACGAUGGUGAUCAAAUAAAAAAAAUAUCAAAAAGGGAAUGGGUCAAAAUCACAUUUUAACGCAUAGACUGUUAUGAAACAAUCUUGGGAGGCAUUCGAAGCUUAUUUUUUGUUUAUUGAAUUCCUUAGAAAGGAUUCUAUAAAAUGCCACCAGAAAAAAGUGUUUUGGCCUAAAAAUUGGAAAAAACGAGUAAAAAAAUAGAAGAUUGUCAAAAAAGAGGGCGUUGCCAAAAAUAGCGGGAUGGUCCAAUCGGCAGAAAACUUGAGAUGUCUGUUAAAUAUCGAUAGGUGAAGGUCGAGUCCAAACGUGUACUCAGUUGACUUGGAACGACCCAUGCUUUUCAGGAUACCUUUCGUGAAUUGGAGUUAAGUUAAGUUUUAAGUUAACAAAAUGUUUUUUAAAUGUUCAUGGCAAGUCACCUGCAAUGAAACAACACGAAAAUAUAGUGAUUUCCACAUUCUCACCAGAUAACGUGAUUUAUACUUUCUAAACAAAAUGCACCAAAUCCGGGAUAUCAGUCAGAUUUAUCAAAACCUACAAGCGCGUAACAGUAGAAAAUAAGCUGAUUUGACUUUUUCAGGGUUGCUUCGAGCAACAGGUGAACAGAAGCUUCCAUCAAGUUUAGUGUUAUAUUUGUUCGACAUUUACAAAACUAGAAAUGUCAGCAACAGCUGAAAAUGUCACUGAACACUUGCAUUUGCGCAUUAAAAUUGGUUGCUGCCCCAAACGUCUUUAAAAAAUGCACAAAACAAACACUGAUAAGAACCUAAUCGGAGCGUUCAUGGACCAAUAUCGCUGCCAAAUUUUUAACGAUAAGCUCUCUUUUCUCGGUGGGAAUGGCGUGUUUCGCAACAGAAGUACACUUUUUUCAAAGCAAUGCAAAUUGUGCUGAAUUUAAGCAACUACCACAAUAUGAGAGCUUCCGCUGGUUUCGACCAAACUAUAAUCGCGUUGCUUGGAAAGAGCUGCAGGAUGAAAAUAGAAACUUCUGUGCCAUAUGCCGAGCAUACAUUAAGUACAAAAACACACAAAAAACUCUCGACUGUCAACACUGGUUCCACGCAAAGUGUAUCAAUCAAUGGUUUGAAAUAAGAAAAGUUUGCCCAAUAUGUCGGUUGGCGGUUGUUUAAAUAAAUUUCACCUUUAGAAAUA